UGUUUAUUUUGGUCCGGUUUUGUUUACAAACAUUGACCGUACUGCACUAUAUACAAACUUAUCCAUAAACCAGUCAGUGUUGACUGAAUACUUGAAGGAUCUAGUUACACCCCAGAGUGUCAUUGUGGUAUAAACACCUGAAGAUGAAUAAACUUUUCCUUCUACCGUUCUGUACCUUUCGUUCUGAGAGAAACCAUUUCAGUCCUUCAUGUUAACUUAUUAUAAGUCGCCGACCGGCGCGAAACAUACACAUACAGUACACAGUUCAGUUAAAAUUUACAAAAACAUGCAGUACAUAAUAAAUUUUAUAUUUA
This is a long non-coding RNA of Eurytemora carolleeae, 314 nucleotides long. RefSeq lists it as uncharacterized. The transcript has 2 exons. NCBI's taxonomy places the organism in Eukaryota, Metazoa, Arthropoda, Copepoda, Calanoida, Temoridae. The record is from RefSeq and is a predicted model, not a curated record.